RNAcentral lists this ribosomal RNA (35 nucleotides) under Crudia lanceolata. RNAcentral's name for it is "partial 26S ribosomal RNA". Lineage: Eukaryota; Viridiplantae; Streptophyta; Magnoliopsida; Fabales; Fabaceae. The record is from RNAcentral.
GACGCGACCUCAGCUCAGGCGGGGCUACCCGCUGA